AUGAAAUGCUUGAUCUGAGUUGUGUAGGCUGAGGAAAGAGUGAGAAGAAGAAGAGGGUAUUGAAGAGAGAUGAAGAAGAGUGUGAAGCCAGGGGGGUGGACUCCAUGGAUGUGAAGCUUUGCCAUGGAACCAGCGGAAGAGCAUGAAAUACUGCUACAAGAAAUGGGUUUUAGUAUCUUUCUUUUAGCUGGAGUCUGCUGGAUAGAUAUAGAGAGAGAGAGAGAGAGAGAUCGGUCUGUGAAUUAUGAUUGGAGUUUAAGUUGUGCUGACUUGAGAUUGACUAUCAGGAAUUAGGCGGGCAGGGAGAAGAUUCUCGGCCGGAGGAAGAGAACUGUCGGCUGGAG
Molecule: long non-coding RNA, 344 nt
Filed under: Eucalyptus grandis
Lineage: Eukaryota; Viridiplantae; Streptophyta; Magnoliopsida; Myrtales; Myrtaceae
Description: long non-coding RNA (EGRA_LNC005532)
Source: RNAcentral